ACGGGUUUGCCGGAACACGUGAUGAGCACUGCUUUAUCUGGGGAUAGCCUUUCGAAAGGAAGAUAAUACCCCAUAAUAUGUGGAUGGCAUCAUUCGACAUUGAAACUCCGGUGGAUAGAGAUGGGCACGCGCAGAUUAGAUAGUUGGUGAGGUAACGGUCACCAAGUCUACGAUCUUUAGGGGCCUGAGAGGGUGAUCCCCCACACUGGUACUGAGACACGGACCAACUCCUACGGGAGGCAGCAGUGAGGAAUAUUGGACAAUGGGUGAGAGCCUGAUCCAGCCAUCCCGCGUGAAGGACGACUGCCCUAUGGGUUGUAAACUUCUUUUGUAUAGGGAUAAACCUACCCUCGUGAGGGUACUGAAGGUACUAUACGAAUAACACCGGUACUCCGUGCACGGCGGAUACGAGGUGCAGCGUUAUCCGGAUUAUUGGGUUAAAGGGUCCGUAGGCGGAUCUGUAAGUUCAUGGUGAAAUCUCAACGUUUUAUUGUGAAAUGCUUGAUANUGGGGUCACUGAAUGUGGUGAAUAAUGGAAUAAUAAUGACAAGGAGAAUGCAUUAAAAUAUUAUUUAAAAAACCAUGGAAAAGGCGGAUAAU
RNAcentral lists this ribosomal RNA (600 nucleotides) under uncultured bacterium. Its description in RNAcentral is "bacterial SSU rRNA". It matches the Rfam family "Bacterial small subunit ribosomal RNA", at positions 100 to 729 of the family's 1533-position model. The record is from RNAcentral.